Bubalus bubalis (water buffalo) is the source of this 4784-nucleotide long non-coding RNA. RefSeq lists it as uncharacterized. The record is from RefSeq and is a predicted model, not a curated record. Lineage: Eukaryota; Metazoa; Chordata; Mammalia; Artiodactyla; Bovidae. The transcript has 3 exons.
CUCUGCUUCACUGUACUUUGAACAGAACAUUCUGAGUGUUAUUUGGUAAGGAGGACUUUACAAUUACAACUUCAUUUUUAGUAGCAAAUCCUCGAGGGACGCCAUUGUUAGAGCCUGCAUCUGAGUGACUGCAAGUCAUAGAUUGAAAUUUAGACUUUUUAAAUUUUUAUUUUAUUUAUUUAUUUUUGAGUGCACUGGGUCUUCGUUGCUGCGUGCAGGCUUUUCUCUAGUUGCGGCGAGCAAGAGCUACUUUCCAGAUGCGGUACGAAGGCUUCUCCCUGCGGUGGCAUUUUUUGUUGUGGAGCACAGGCUCUAGAGCACGGGUUUAGUUGCUCUGAGGCAUGUGAGAUCUUCCCAGAUCAGGGGUCAAACCCCUGUCUCCUGCAUUGGCAGAUGGAUUCUUUACCACUGACCCUUCAGCGAAGCCCUGAAAUUUAGACUUAAUCUAUCCGGGAAAGACUGCAGUGUGAUCGUGGGCGUUUUCCUUGCCUUCCAGAACUCCACUUCCAGGAGAGGGCAGGGUGACACCCACUAAGGUUUUAUGACUCACUGCUGUUUUGACACACAGCAUUUUCAGGAGGUGGAGAUUUGAUGGUGAGCAGGGCUUUCUAUCAGUUUCUUCCUCUUUGAAUUAAGGUUUGCAAGAGUCUCGAGGGCUACCUGAACUCCAGUUUAUUCAUCUUGGCUUGGCAACCGGAGGGUGGUGGACUCAGCAGUGCAGAUGGCUCACCAAGUAACAUUUUUGCGUCCUUGUAAGUGCCUAGCACUGUGUGCCCGCUGACCAUAUCCUCAGAUGGUCCUCUUGCUCAUCUUUGUGGUCUCCUGCAGUAGGGCGUCCUGGCUGCAGAGCCUCCUGAUUGGAGACAAGGCAUAACUUGCAGAGAAACAAGCGUCAGUCUGGAGGUGUCCUAGGGGAAUGGAGGCCAGGCACCAGAUGAGGUUUAUUCGCAAGACCAUCAGGUGACCUGAUAGUUCAUUUAGCCCACAGGCACCCUGGCUAUUUGUUAGCUCACACUUCUUUUUGGAAAGGACUCAAACAAAGGCAUAUGCGGCAUUUUUAUGCACACAGGGGCUUUUUGUUCCCAGCUUUCCCGCAUGCAAAUCAUAAUUUUAAAGCAGUUAAACAAAUCUCCUGGUAACCCUGUAUUUUGCAAAGGAAGCAGGGGGACUAGGUGAAAUCACAAGAAUUUUUUACUGUGGGGCAGCAGUUCUGGACAGGGUCUUCUGGGCAGGUGGCUAACCCCUGACUUAAACCUCAACACCUCUCCCGGGCAGGGGAGAUGUUGGAAUUGGCAGGAAGAGGGGAUGAAGUUGGAAAUGAAGGGAGCGGGUGGCGGGCUUCGGUCAACACUAUUGGUUUUUGCUGGAGGGAAGGAAGCGAGAAAAUGUGUCCUGGGCUGACUCACACAGAGAACUGACUGUACCAUACUUUCCCUCCUGAUCAUGGAUAUUCUCCUCCGCGAAUAAACAGGGAAGGAGACAAAGCGGAAAGAAGCCUUCUAAGUAAUUCCAGUAAGCUGUGGCUCCAGCCAGAGCCUAGCCCAGAGCCAGCACACUUCAAAGGCAACACGAUGGACUGUCAGCUGCAGCGUGUCUCUUGGUCUGAGGUAUACAAGGACUUUUCUAACGGGAUUUGAGUAGCUCAAAGAAUCACUGAGAAGGCUGGAUCAAAUCAGGCUUAGAAAAUAUGCUGGGAACAAGAAAAGCCAUGUGCCCUACUGCUUCUGGAAUCCAGAUGUUGCUACCAGUGUUGCUGCUGAAACAAAUUCUCCCUGUCCCCUUUCUUUCUGCCACUUGCUCCUGAUAAAGAUCUGAUGGUUACACCAGCUCACAUGUCCAUGUCCUGGUUGCUGGGGAAUGGAGGAAGCAAGGGUCUGGGCUUUGCAGCCUCUGGUCAGCAGUGUGAGAAAGGGAACACAGAGCUCAGAGAGGGAGAACUUGACCACACCUGAGAAGGGGGAUCAGAUGCUGGGCAGCCAAGAACACAAACAUCAGAAAGUGUCAAGAUAUCUUUUGCAACACUUUAGAGGGUCUUUGGGAGGAUUACAUGAGCUGAUGCAUUUGGGAAGAACUCAGUAGAUGGGGGCUGUUUCUACCAUGUAACUAUUCAUCAUAAUCAACUCCCACAAAGCCACUCUGGGCUUCCCUGGUGGCCCCAAUGGUAAGGAAACUGCCUGCCAAUGCAGGAGAUGCAGGUUCGAUCCCUGGGUUGGGGAGAUCCCCUGAAGUAGGAAACAGCAACCCACUCCAGUAUUCUUGCCUGGAAAAUCCCAUGGACAGAGGAGUCUGGCAGGCUAUAGUCCAUGGGGUCACGAAGUGUCAGAUGUGACUGAGUGACUAAACAACAAAGCCACUCUCCAUCAGUCCAACUUCCCACUCCACGUAUCCAAUCCUGGCCAUCCUGCAAAGUCCAGGUCAAGUCCACACUCAUCAAUAACCUUCUCCAGACUCAGUUUUUCAUCAUCCAACCUUCCCACAGCCCUCUUAUUCCAUUUAGUGCUUAAUUACCUACAGUCUCAUCUUUCUCUGGCAUUUUCCCCCAUGUGUGUGUUACUCUCCCACGUGACCAAAGGGCAGACCUCUCAAAGGAGAUGCUGAUGGCAGCUUCAGCCUCCCACGCGGGGGCUCAAGGGCCUGUCUUCUCUGUGACCUUGAGGUUGCCGUCUUUCCUUUGGUCCAGGGUCGUCCUUGGGAGUGAGCUCUGUGUGCAUUUAUCCUUCACUUGUUCAAGUGUUCAUUCUACUAACAUGUGUCUAUUGAUGGCACAGGUGCAACAUUCGUGAAGAAAGAGUGCAUUCUCAGAGAGUCUUCAGGCCCCUGGCAGAGCGUGUAUUCUGAAAUUGGGGGUCAGAUCGUGCUAAUGUCACAAUGUGAGAGGACCUGCAUUUCUUUCUGGAAGGUUUGGAGGAGAAUCCAUUCCCUUGUCUUUUUCUGGCUCCUAAAAGCUGCCUGCAUCCCUUGGUCUGUGGCUUUCCCUCAGGCUUUAAAACCAGCAAGGACUCACUCUUGAUGCGGUGACGGCACCCCUCCCUCUUGCUGACGGCAGCACAGUAGGUUCUUUCUCUCUCUUUUUUAAGGUUUCGUGUGAUUACAUUGGGUCCAAGCAGGUAAUUCAGAGACUCUCCCAUCUCAGGUUCCUUAACGCAUCUUCAGAGUCUCUUGCAGGAUGAGGAUGUGAGUAUCCUUGAAGGCCUUUUAUUUGACAAACACAGGUAUGCACACAACUAAGACUCCAAACUUGUGCCUCCUCAACAGAGCUCAACUACUGCUCCUGACAGAAGCUUCCGAACCACACACACACACACACCCUUAUUUAAAGAAUAAUGCCCUAGGCACAAGUUCCUUAUAGGAUGCCAGGAGUGCCACAAGACCACACCUAAGUGCCCAAUGGUUGGUGCAGAGAAUCAGGAACUGAGAGGAGGAAGAGGCACUAUGGGUGAGGGGUGGGGGGUGGAGGGAGGCAGGUUGGGAAGAGCCUGGAAGACACAAGUGAUGGAAGCGAUGGUGAAAUCUGGCUCAUUCCAGGGAGCCACAUAUAUCACAGCUCUUUAGCACAGGCCCAAAGCACCCAGGGGUGACUUUCAGCUUGAUCUGUAGCCUCCAAGGCUUGGGAGCUGUGUUGCAGAUGUGGUCCAGAGUCACACAGGCUAGUGGACCAUGUGAGCUCAUUCAGAAAACCUCACACGGCUGCCACAUUGUCUGAGAGUCCCAGCUCCCACUGUAAUAUUUGAGUUGAUACCUGUGACAAUGGUCUCUAGCUCCUUCGAUAUUAGAUGCUUACCAGCCCCCUCCCAAGGGUCCCUUCCAGCUCCUUCAAGCUAUUUCUGUUUCUUUCCUGAGGCUGGGGGCCUCCACACCUGCCCAGGCAAUGAGCAAGACGCGCAUCUCCUCGCCCAGAUUGGGGGAGUUGGCUUCUGUCUUUCAGUUGGAAAUUUGAGAUCAAGGGAAAAAAAACUUACCUGGGGCAGCUGCCCUUUCAGCCAAUGGAUGAGUCAAGAGGAAAGAAGGGAGGUGGUGAGGUCUCAGCCGCUGCAUUAAACACCAGUGACUUUGAGGUGCCCCCUGGAGCCUCUUGCUCAAGAAGGACAGUGGAGAAACCAUACUUCUUGGGAGGACUGAUGACCCUUGGGAGGACCUUGACCAAUAGGCCAAGAGGUAGGAUGAGUAAGGAAGAGAUGAGAGAGUCAUUAUCUUCUGCAAACAAGGAAUACCAUCAGCAAGGCUUUGUGGGCACUCAGGGGACAAGAGAUGGCUUGGAGUGGAGGGCUGGGGUCCAGACACAGGAGACCAGGGAGGAGGCCCAGUAAGACAGACAGAAAAAGUGAUCAGCAGAUCACCUUCCAAACACAAGAGGACAGAAGAGAAACAGCGUACAAAAGACUAAAGUCAAGGUAAAGAGGCUGUAACGCGAGCUGAGUGGCGGUGGCGACUUGGGUCUCUGCCCAUCAGAUAAGACUGCGACUCCUCCGAGUCCUCCAAGCAAAGCAGAAGGGUCAGUACCCACUGCAAAGCUGUGGUGUGCUUUUAUGGCUUUAAUUAAAUCAAAUGAACUAUAAUAACCAGGGCUUCUGUUUGCCUCACUCUCCAAUUCCAAAGGGGCUAUUUUAGCUGUAGGCGCGAUGCUUCUGAGCUGAAAAUCAGAGCUGCACGCAUUUUUUCUCAUUUUUUUUCUUGUACUAGAAGGGCAGGCUGAUUUCUUAAGAGCUGAAUUAAGUAACGGGAACGGAAAUGAGUUACACAUGGCAGCCCCGAGUCUCUAAUCCUAUCACUUCUCUGCAUCUGGG